GCGCUGGUGGCGGAAUUGGUAGACGCGCUGGUUUCAGGUACCAGUGGGUAACACCGUGGAGGUUCGAGUCCUCUCCAGCGCACCA
This 85-nucleotide transfer RNA is filed under the name Salmonella enterica. RNAcentral's name for it is "tRNA-Leu". It matches the Rfam family "tRNA". Rfam says of the family: Transfer RNA (tRNA) molecules are approximately 80 nucleotides in length. Their secondary structure includes four short double-helical elements and three loops (D, anti-codon, and T loops). Further hydrogen bonds mediate the characteristic L-shaped molecular structure. tRNAs have two regions of fundamental functional importance: the anti-codon, which is responsible for specific mRNA codon recognition, and the 3' end, to which the tRNAs corresponding amino acid is attached (by aminoacyl-tRNA synthetases). tRNAs cope with the degeneracy of the genetic code in two manners: having more than one tRNA (with a specific anti-codon) for a particular amino acid; and 'wobble' base-pairing, i.e. permitting non-standard base-pairing at the 3rd anti-codon position. The record is from RNAcentral. RNAcentral also lists the same sequence under 1 other name. Lineage: Bacteria; Pseudomonadati; Pseudomonadota; Gammaproteobacteria; Enterobacterales; Enterobacteriaceae.